Molecule: ribosomal RNA, 480 nt
Filed under: uncultured Pelotomaculum sp.
Lineage: Bacteria; Bacillati; Bacillota; Clostridia; Eubacteriales; Desulfotomaculaceae
Description: bacterial SSU rRNA
Rfam family: Bacterial small subunit ribosomal RNA
Source: RNAcentral
CAAAGGAAUUGACGGACCCGCACAAGCGGUGGAUCAUGUUGUUUAAUUCGAUGAUACGCGAGAACCUUACCAGGGCUUGACAUCCCCUGACCGCGUAUGAAAGUACGUUUUCACCCUCGGGUGACAGGGAGACAGGUGGUGCAUGGUUGUCGUCAGCUCGUGUCGUGAGAUGUUGGGUUAAGUCCCGCAACGAGCGCAACCCCUACGUUUAGUUGCUAACGCGUGAAGGCGAGCACUCUAGACGAACUGCCGUUGACAAAACGGAGGAAGGUGGGGAUGACGUCAAAUCAUCAUGCCCCUUAUGUUCUGGGCUACACACGUGCUACAAUGGCCGGUACAGACGGACGCAAAGCCGCGAGGUGGAGCAAAUCCUAAAAAGCCGGUCUCAGUUCGGAUUGCAGGCUGCAAUUCGCCUGCAUGAAGUCGGAAUCGCUAGUAAUCGCAGGUCAGCAUACUGCGGUGAAUACGUUCCCGGGCCUU